GAUAAUGGCAUGAAGAUAUUAACCCUGGGCAUACAGCCAUCUCCAUAACUAGUACAACCUACUAUACACACUUCCAGAAAAGUGGAUUUGGUCAUUAUUAGGAUCCCAAUUAGCCGCUGCAAAAGCAUUUAGCUACUCUUCCUGGGGUCCACAUGAAACAUGACACAUAGUACAGAAUACAGUUAAGGACUGAAAUACACAUCUAAAAACAUCACAGUCUAUAUAUCAGUACAUACAAACUAUAUCUAGCUGUAAUACAUACAGCACAAAUUACAAUACAAGAUACAUAAAAUGUCUGUCUCUUCACAGCCCCCUUUGUGCAGUAAGGGGUUCUUUUGUCUGUGUUUUGAAACUGGUUUUAUUGCUAGUUUGAGUUACCAGAGAGUUCCAUGUAGUCAUGGCUCUAUUUAAUACUGUGUGUUUCCCAGCCUCUGUUCUGGACCUGGGCACUGUGAAGAGACCUCUGGUUGCAUGUCUUGUGUUGUACCGAUGAGGGUCCGAACUGUGAGCCAACUGCUUCAACAGACAGUUUGGUACCUUCAACACAUUAACACCAAGACCAAAAGUGAUGCAGUCAAUCUCUCCUCAACUUUGAGCCUCUGGACCAACUGCAAUUGACCUUUGUCCUUCUCUGCCGCACAUGAGCCCACAGCUGGGCAGUAGUCCAGGUGAAACUACACAUGACCCCACAGCUGGGCAGUAGUCCAGGUGAAACUACACAUGACCCCACAGCUGGGCAGUAGUCCAGGUGAAACUACACAUGACCCCACAGCUGGGCAGUAGUCCAGGUGAAACUACACAUGACCCCACAGCUGGGCAGUAGUCCAGGUGAAACUACACAUGACCCCACAGCUGGGCAGUAGUCCAGGUGAAACUACACAUGACCCCACAGCUGGGCAGUAGUCCAGGUGAAACUACACAUGACCCCACAGCUGGGCAGUAGUCCAGGUGAAACUACACAUGACCCCACAGCUGGGCAGUAGUCAAGGUGAAACUACACAUGACCCCACAGCUGGGCAGUAGUCCAGGUGAAACUACACAUGACCCCACAGCUGGGCAGUCGUCAAGGUGUGACAAAACUUAGGCCUGUUGGACAUGUCUGGUCAACUGAGAUGACAAGGCAGAGCAACACCCUGUCAUGGACAGACCUCUUCCCAUUUUUAGCAACCAUUGAGUCGUUAUGUUUUGACGAUGAAAGCGUGCUAUCUAGGGUUACACCUAGCAGUCGUCUCCUCAAUUUGCUCAAUAGCCACAUUAUUCAACAAUAGGUGUAAGCAAGGUUUAGCGUUGAGCGAGUGAUUCGUCUCCAAAAUGAUGCUUUUCGUUGAGAUACUUAGCGGCAGCCUAUUGCUAGUUACCCAUUCUAAAAGUGACUGGAGCUCUCUGUUUUAGUUGACUGUUGAGUCGUCAGGGUACAUAGACCCAUUCUAAAAGUGACUGGAGCUCUGUUUUAGUUGACUGUUGAGUCGUCAGGGUACAUAGACCCAUUCUAAAAGUGACUGGAGCUCUGUUUUAGUUGACUGUUGAGUCGUCAGGGUACAUAGACCCAUUCUAAAAGUGACUGGAGCUCUGUUUUAGUUGACUGUUGAGUCGUCAGGGUACAUAGACCCAUUCUAAAAGUGACUGGAGCUCUCUGUUUUAGUUGACUGUUGAGUCGUCAGGGUACAUAGACCCAUUCUAAAAGUGACUGGAGCUCUGUUUUAGUUGACUGUUGAGUCGUCAGGGUACAUAGACCCAUUCUAAAAGUGACUGGAGCUCUCUGUUUUAGUUGACUGUUGAGUCGUCAGGGUACAUAGACCCAUUCUAAAAGUGACUGGAGCUCUCUGUUUUAGUUGACUGUUGAGUCGUCAGGGUACAUAGACCCAUUCUAAAAGUGACUGGAGCUCUGUUUUAGUUGACUGUUGAGUCGUCAGGGUACAUAGACCCAUUCUAAAAGUGACUGGAGCUCUCUGUUUUAGUUGACUGUUGAGUCGUCAGGGUACAUAGACCCAUUCUAAAAGUGACUGGAGCUCUGUUUUAGUUGACUGUUGAGUCGUCAGGGUACAUAGACCCAUUCUAAAAGUGACUGGAGCUCUGUUUUAGUUGACUGUUGAGUCGUCAGGGUACAUAGACCCAUUCUAAAAGUGACUGGAGCUCUGUUUUAGUUGACUGUUGAGUCGUCAGGGUACAUAGACCCAUUCUAAAAGUGACUGGAGCUCUGUUUUAGUUGACUGUUGAGUCGUCAGGGUACAUAGACCCAUUCUAAAAGUGACUGGAGCUCUCUGUUUUAGUUGACUGUUGAGUCGUCAGGGUACAUAGACCCAUUCUAAAAGUGACUGGAGCUCUGUUUUAGUUGACUGUUGAGUCGUCAGGGUACAUAGACCCAUUCUAAAAGUGACUGGAGCUCUCUGUUUUAGUUGACUGUUGAGUCGUCAGGGUACAUAGACCCAUUCUAAAAGUGACUGGAGCUCUCUGUUUUAGUUGACUGUUGUGUCGUCAGGGUACAUAGACCCAUUCUAAAAGUGACUGGAGCUCUGUUUUAGUUGACUGUUGAGUCGUCAGGGUACAUAGACCCAUUCUAAAAGUGACUGGAGCUCUGUUUUAGUUGACUGUUGAGUCGUCAGGGUACAUAGACCCAUUCUAAAAGUGACUGGAGCUCUGUUUUAGUUGACUGUUGAGUCGUCAGGGUACAUAGACCCAUUCUAAAAGUGAC
This is a long non-coding RNA of Oncorhynchus keta (chum salmon), 2692 nucleotides long. RefSeq lists it as uncharacterized. NCBI's taxonomy places the organism in Eukaryota, Metazoa, Chordata, Actinopteri, Salmoniformes, Salmonidae. The transcript is spliced from 3 exons. The record is from RefSeq and is a predicted model, not a curated record.